Molecule: ribosomal RNA, 465 nt
Filed under: uncultured bacterium
Lineage: Bacteria
Description: partial 16S ribosomal RNA
Rfam family: Bacterial small subunit ribosomal RNA
Source: RNAcentral
CCUACGGGUGGCAGCAGUGGGGAAUAUUGCGCAAUGGGCGAAAGCCUGAUGCAGCGACGCCGCGUGAGGGAUGAAGGUCUUCGGAUCGUAAACCUCUGUCAGCAGGGAAGAACGGUCACUGUGCUAAUCAGCAGUGAAUUGACGGUACCUGCAAAGGAAGCACCGGCUAACUCCGUGACAGCAGCCGCGGUAAGACGGAGGGUGCGAGCGUUAAGCGGAAUUACUGGGCGUAAAGCGCUCGUAGGCGGUAUGUCAAGUCAAGGGUGAAAUCCCCGCGCUCAACGUGGGAACGGCCUUUGAAACUGGCAAACUGGAGUGUGUGAGAGGAUAGUGGAAUUCCAGGUGUAGGGGUGAAAUCCGUAGAUAUCUGGAGGAACAUCAGUGGCGAAGGCGACUAUCUGGCACAUAACUGACGCUGAGGAGCGAAAGCGUGGGUAGCAAACAGGAUUAGAUACCCUGGUAGUC